Sitophilus oryzae (rice weevil) is the source of this 380-nucleotide long non-coding RNA. RefSeq lists it as uncharacterized. The transcript has 3 exons. NCBI's taxonomy places the organism in Eukaryota, Metazoa, Arthropoda, Insecta, Coleoptera, Curculionidae. The record is from RefSeq and is a predicted model, not a curated record.
UAUUGAGAUGAAGCAAGUAGGAAUGUGUUUUUGAUCUCUAAGGGGGCUAAUGUCCUCCUUAUGAGACCUCACGAGACCUCAAGACCGAACCUAGUCAGGAUUGUUCACGGGAGAUGAAAAACUGUUAAGCUAGAAAGAUAUUUAUUGGAGGCACUUGUAGUAGUUGUCAUAUAUUGUCUACCUAAGAAUAUAUAAGUUUUAGCACGAUAACAGGACAACACUCCUUUUAAGAACUUGAAGAUGAGAGGUGAUUGCGAGGCAUCAUAAAUACAAAAAAACCUACACCAAUAUGGAAUGAAGAUACAAGGUGACCUGGAAAAAUGACUAAUUUCUAGUUUCAUAAUAUGUCUAUGAUGAAGAUCAUUCUAUGAAGAUGAUCG